Long non-coding RNA from Polypterus senegalus (gray bichir), 1551 nucleotides. RefSeq lists it as uncharacterized. The transcript is spliced from 3 exons. The record is from RefSeq and is a predicted model, not a curated record. Lineage: Eukaryota; Metazoa; Chordata; Cladistia; Polypteriformes; Polypteridae.
GCUCAGCGUUGCUCACACCUUUCAAGCUCAGUCGCUGUUCCAGCGUGAGCAUGUGAAGCUGCAAUAGGCCGUUUGUAAAGAGAGGUCCUGCCUACUGUACAUCAUGCAACCCUUGGAACCCAGUGUGAGAGAAGAAUUUUUAAAAUACUACUGUCCUCUAACGUUGGACCCCAACACAGCCAACAGGCGCCUUAGUCUCUCUGAAGGGAACAGGAAGGCCACACUAAUGGCAGAUGUCCAAAUGUAUACUGAACAUGCUGAGCGAUUCGAUCACCGGCCACAAGUUCUGUGCAGAGAGGGUCUGUUGGGGUCUCGCUUUUACUGGGAAGUGGAGUGGAGUGGAGGAGGCGCCGAAAUUGGAGUCGCAUAUAAAGGAAUCAACAGGAAAGAUUGGUCCAAAGAAGGUCGAUUAGGAUUUAAUGACAAAUCAUGGAUUGUGCUCUGCUCUGAUACCAGUUCCUAUGCCUGGCCAGACAAAAUAAAAUUAUUGGCCCCGUCUGGUCCUAAAAUCGGGGUAUACCUUAACUGUCUCUUUGGCACUCUCUCGUUUUACAACAUAUCUGGCCCAAUGACCCUCCUAUAUUGUUUCAAGAGCACAUUCACUGAGCCUCUUUAUCCUGGAUUUCGGCUUCAUUAUAACUUUUCCGGGGACAGUGACUCCAGUGUGACAAUAUGCCAGCUAAGCCAAUCUAACCAUCUGUAACCUAUAAACCUCUUCCGUUUUCUCAAUGGCUGUUCAAUAGCCCUCCUUUCAAGGUGUCUCAUAUGUGUGAGGCUGUCACAGAAAAGACUUCCUGGGUUCAAAUUCCCAUAGCACCCCCAUAGUGUUUGUAAGUUGCAAAAAUUGUAAUGUGUAAUUGUAAUUGUAAUUGUAAUGUAAGGCAUAUUCUGCUGAACAACUCAUCAGGUCCCAUUGUGUCUUUUUUAAAUUGGCCAGAAAUAUUUCAUUUUCCACUAAUCUAUAAAUAUGAAAUGCUAACAUCUGUCGGUCUGUCAUGCAAUUACUUGCAGACUAAUAGGGCUAGAGCCUUGAUCUUGGUCUUAAUCGAAACCUUAUGGCUUAAAAUAUUUGGUAGCGGCAUCCUCAGCAUAAUGACCUGUGGUUGUCACUUUAUGACAAAGUGAAUGAAAAAGUUAGUGAUAGCCACCAUAAUGACUGAAAGAAAAAGAAGACCAGUGACAUCUGCUGAACGUCAAGCACAACACAGAGGGUGAUUAAGUGAUGACAAAUGACAAAGAAUAAGAAAACAAGGCACUGAAGCACACAGACAAGCAGGAACUAAUCCAGAAUAUAUUUUAAUAUUUGGUGUACUCUAUUAAUCCCCGAAAAGAAACUGUCUUUUCACAUGACCUUUGGAGGAAUAUAGCCUGAUAUGUUCAGGAAAUUCUAAAAAUUUUGAGAACCUGGUGGCCACUUUAGUGGUAGCCAGAAAAGUUUAUUGUGAUUAAAGUGUGGUGCCCGGGACAAGGUAAAUAUGUGUUCAGAAUUCAUAAUCAAAUGUAAUUAUUGUGUUUUUUGAUCUUUGAACAUGGGACUUUAUUAAAUGUAAA